UUUAGAAAUAGUUAUUACAUAUUUACGAAAUUUCAUAGGUGAUCUCCUUAAAUAUCAUGAAAGAAUAAGCUACAACUUAAAAUAGUUACUACAUAUUAACUGAAUAAUAAAUGAAAAUCUAACUCCUAAUUAAUAACGGAUAUAAGAUUGGAGAUAAAUAUCAACUAAAGAAAACUUGGAAACAAAGACAUCGAAAACACGAUGUAACAUUUUGGUGAAGAAAUCUGCAAGUUGACCGUGGCUGGGAACUAGCAAUACUUUCCAGCUACAAUUAUGCAAUUUUUCUUGUACUACAUGACGAUCUAUAUGAGGUGAUUCAUCAAGCUACAAACUAAAAUUCAUUGAUGCUCCACCCACAAACAUUAAAUUGACUAAGUAAAAAUAUAUAUAAUGAUUAAAACUAUAUAACACUAGUCUCUUUCAAAAAUAGAAAAACUUCCAAAUUGUGAUACAACUGUAUUUAUUGCAUUGAUAAGAGGAUAAUUGGUUUCUUCAAUAAGAUGUGUCAAUGCUGUACUAUAAUUAAUUAUAGUUAUUGACUAUGGUACAGCAUUGACAUAUAUUAUUCAAGAAGCCUAUGAUCCUCUUGUCAAUGCAAUAACUACUGUUGUAUCACAAUUUGCUAAUACUCCUAUUUCAGAAUGAAGGCUCUAUUUGGUCUCAACCAAUAUACAUAUUUUUUCUCUAGUCAAUUUAAAUUAUUUAAACUUUGCACUUUGCAGGCAUAUCAAUGGAAUUGUUUGAGCAAUUUUAGAACUUUCUUAUUCGCAAUUGAAACUAAACUGAAUCUUUCCACAAGUAUCACGGUAUCCUUAUACUUCAUUUGCACCUACAACAUAUAGUUGAAAUAUUUAGUUCAUAGAUUUCUAAACGGUAAAGAUUAGCAUAACAUUAAAUGAAUAGAUCUUAGAAUAUAAAAUAUAUGCUCACUUUAUAGAGAAUGAACAUUAUAGGUUAAUGAGAUACAAUUUCGAAAAUAAACAAAUCCUCCAAUAUGCUAACCAGUAAUAAUCUGGCAAAGAAUGAUAAAUAUUUAAAAGCAUCACAAAAAGAAAAAAAAAGAAUCCAAGAUAGCAGUAGAUUAAGCAUUAAUAAUCAUGCUUACAAAAUUGGCAUAUAUAAACCAUAAAAUUCUUACUCAUGACUCAUGAAGAUAGAUUUUAAAUUCCAAUCAGAGUAGAAUUUAAAAUCUGUUCGGUUCGCGUGAUCUCUAACUUAUGAAUAUAUUUUCUAAACACAAUUACAUUUUAUAGAAAGUGGCAUUGUAAGUAAAAUUGAUUUAUAAACAACUAAAAGAAAUCAAAAUUCUUCAAAUAGAAUGUCGCCUCAACCUUUGGCCGCAUCAAGAUGAAUGCAUGUUUGGUUCAUAUACUGACUUAGAAUGUGCAGGAUCAACUUCCUAGCUUCCUUCAGUUCUUGAUACAGAGCUGUCUCAAUGGUUUAGAUUAUUAUGUCAUCCAGCUGCAGUUUUCAAAGUGUAAUAUAUUAAUUGAUUCCAAGAAGCAUCCCCGAAGGAAUAGCUUAGUGGUUUGACUAGAAACGUUGAAGGAGUUAUAAGCAAGAGGUAUGUGAUUCAAUCUCUGACACUAACAUUUCUCCCUCCCCUAACAUAUCUAUAAACUACUAACAUUAACCUAUAAAAAGAUUUGAUUACAAAAAGCAUUAUAGAAAAGCUUUUAAUAAAAUUUAUUUGAAAGAAGCUCCCCCAUAAGUCAGAAGAACCAUAAUCAUAAUCACACUAUAAUCAUAAUCAUGACUUUAAUGGCCUAUAUCAUCAUAUCAACUUAUAAGUCGCAUUAUCAUUUUUGGAACCAUGAAUUUUAAAUUCAUAAAGAAUUAAGAAUGAUUUAAAAUAAUAUUUAUCUUCAAAAUAUUCAUUAAACCAUAAAAGAUUCGUUCUCGAAAAAUAAAAUUUUAGAUUUUCAAUUAAAAUUCUACUCACAACUUUGAAGAACCAACUCAACCUCUUGUUAUACCUUCAUGAGGAGCCAACAAAGUAAUUUCCACUUCAUUUGACCAUAGAGAAAUUAAUUUUACAAUUCAUAAAAUUUAUUUCAUUCUUAGGGUAACACCAGAUACAAAAUCCCCCAAAUUAUAAGAACUAGGGUUGAAAAAACACAUUAAAAUGUAAUAUUCAACUUAUUACCGACACCCACUACUCAACUAAGCUAUAAAUAACUUUAGAAGACUAAUAAUUAGUAGUUUUUACCUCAUGAAACUUCCAAUUNNNNNNNNNNNNNNNNNNNNNNNNNNNNNNCUUCCGAACUUGAGAGUCUAAACGAGUGCUACUAAUUCUUAUGGAUAGAAGGGAUUUGAGAUGGAAUAGCAAGAAAAUGGAACUAAUUGAGGGUAUGGAAUACGGUCACAAGUGAGAGAAAUGGGAGAUGGAGAUGUAGAAUUUGGGGGAAAGAGAGUGAUGAGAGGGGUGCGGGUUAAGAAGCUACAUACUUCAAAACGGGAGAAUAUAACCUCCGAUAUUGAUUUAUAUCCGGU
RNAcentral lists this long non-coding RNA (2493 nucleotides) under Cicer arietinum (chickpea). RNAcentral's name for it is "long non-coding RNA (CARI_LNC003282)". The record is from RNAcentral. Lineage: Eukaryota; Viridiplantae; Streptophyta; Magnoliopsida; Fabales; Fabaceae.